RNAcentral lists this ribosomal RNA (463 nucleotides) under uncultured bacterium. RNAcentral's name for it is "partial 16S ribosomal RNA". It matches the Rfam family "Bacterial small subunit ribosomal RNA", at positions 28 to 507 of the family's 1533-position model. The record is from RNAcentral.
GACGAACGCUGGCGGCGUGCUUAACACAUGCAAGUCGAACGGUGAACCUCUUCGGAGGGGAUCAGUGGCGAACGGGUGAGUAACACGUGGGCAACCUGCCCCCGGCUCUGGGAUAACUCCAAGAAAUUGGGGCUAAUACCGGAUGUUCACCGCUUCCCGCAUGGGUGGUGGUGGAAAGGGUUUCCGGCUGGGGAUGGGCCCGCGGCCUAUCAGCUUGUUGGUGGGGUAGUGGCCUACCAAGGCGACGACGGGUAGCCGGCCUGAGAGGGUGACCGGCCACACUGGGACUGAGACACGGCCCAGACUCCUACGGGAGGCAGCAGUGGGGAAUAUUGCGCAAUGGGCGGAAGCGUGACGCAGCGACGCCGCGUGGGGGAUGACGGCCUUCGGGUUGUAAACCUCUUUCAGCAGGGACGAAGCGCAAGUGACGGUACCUGCAGAAGAAGCACCGGCCAACUACGUG